Molecule: ribosomal RNA, 163 nt
Filed under: Amaranthus greggii
Lineage: Eukaryota; Viridiplantae; Streptophyta; Magnoliopsida; Caryophyllales; Amaranthaceae
Also listed under: 7 other names
Description: 5.8S ribosomal RNA
Rfam family: 5.8S ribosomal RNA
About the family: 5.8S ribosomal RNA (5.8S rRNA) is a component of the large subunit of the eukaryotic ribosome. It is transcribed by RNA polymerase I as part of the 45S precursor that also contains 18S and 28S rRNA.
Source: RNAcentral
UGAACGACUCUCGGCAACGGAUAUCUUGGCUCUCGCAUCGAUGAAGAACGUAGCGAAAUGCGAUACUUGGUGUGAAUUGCAGAAUCCCGUGAACCAUCGAGUUUUUGAACGCAAGUUGCGCCCGAAGCCUUUNGGCCAGGGCACGUCUGCCUGGGCGUCACGC